Molecule: ribosomal RNA, 489 nt
Filed under: uncultured bacterium
Lineage: Bacteria
Description: partial 16S ribosomal RNA
Rfam family: Bacterial small subunit ribosomal RNA
Source: RNAcentral
UUGAACGCUGGCGGCAGGCCUAACACAUGCAAGUCGAAUGGUAACAGGAAACAGCUUGCUGUUUCGCUGACGAGUGGCGGACGGGUGCGUAAUGUCUGGGAAACUGCCUGAUGGAGGGGGAUAACUACUGGAAACGGUAGCUAAUACCGCAUAACGUCGCAAGACCAAAGAGGGGGACCUUCGGGCCUCUUGCCAUCAGAUGUGCCCAGAUGGGAUUAGCUAGUAGGUGGGGUAACGGCUCACCUAGGCGUCGAUCCCUAGCUGGUCUGAGAGGAUGACCAGCCACACUGGAACUGAGACACGGUCCAGACUCCUACGGGAGGCAGCAGUGGGGAAUAUUGCACAAUGGGCGCAAGCCUGAUGAAGCCAUGCCGCGUGUAUGAAGAAGGCCUUCGGGUUGUAAAGUACUUUCAGCGGGGAGGAAGGGAGUAAAGUUAAUACCUUUGCUCAUUGACGUUACCCGCAGAAGAAGCACCGGCUAACUCCGUG